Molecule: long non-coding RNA, 1441 nt
Organism: Oncorhynchus keta (chum salmon)
Lineage: Eukaryota; Metazoa; Chordata; Actinopteri; Salmoniformes; Salmonidae
Exons: 2
Source: RefSeq, a predicted model, not a curated record
AGUGAGUGAGUGAGUGAGUGAGUGAGUGUGCAUGUUUAGUCUGCACUGUGCUCAGUCGCACUUCACUGAGACACACCCUUCCCCUUCACUGUUUUGUUUCUAGAAAAGUCGGUCUGAGUUUCACUUCACAGGGGAGGUGGAGACUCAGGUUUUGUUGCUACCCUGCAGUAUAAAAUCCCCAAACGGCUCGCUCUCCUCAGUCCUGCAGUCCCCUGCUGAACGCCAUUAUGACAACCACAGAUGAGCAGGAUGAAGAGGAAGAUGAUGAUUAUGACGAAAAGUAUGAAGAUUACAAGUAUAAUUACAUUUUAUAGUGUAAAGUCAGUCUACUGCCAAGGGUAGCACACCGGGUUCCUUUUUGGAACCGGUGGGCAGAAGUCCAUCUGAGGCACUGAAACAGGCCUUAAAACUAGGAGGCGGAACUCCUUCCAGACGAGGAAGGACUUAACCUCGAACAAAACAGACUACCACUAUCACAAUGCUAUGUGAAGGUACUUGAAGGAAUUUCUGAGGCCCCUACCAGAUGAGGAAGGAGGACUUAAGCCUUGAAACCAUGAAGCGAGAAGACUCUCACAAUAUGAAGGCAGUUUAUUAUGUUAAUCAUAACAUGAUUAACAUAAUUUCUUUUGUACCUUAAACUAAUGGACAUACUGUAUGUUCAACUAUCACAAUGCUAUGUGAAGCAAUGUGAAGUGUCUCCGAACAUUUCAGGGUAAACUGCUUGCCCAAAAUGGUCAGGAUUGCAUAAUUUCCUAUAUGAGGAUAUUAUAAUGGUAUAUCUUUUCAAUAAUGUAAACCAUGCAUCUAACUGAUAAAUGAGGAAAUAGGACUUAAUUAAGCCUUCUAUACUUCAAGUGAGAAGACACUCACAAUGUGAAAGCAUACAGUUACAGGUUAUAAAUAAUAUAAUAGUAUGUUUAUUAUCGAACCAUGUUUACUUGUACUGUUAUUACCGAUGUGAAAUGGCUAGCUAGUUAGCGGGGUGCGCGCUAAUAGCGUUUCAAUCGUAAUGUCACUUGCUCUGAGACCUGGAAGUAGUUGUUCCUCUUGCUCGGCUUUUGUGGAGCGAUGUGUAACGAUGCUUCAAGGGUGACUGUAGUCUAUGUGUGCAGGGGGUCCCUGAUUCGAGCCCAGGUAAGGGCAAAGAGAGGGACGGAAGCUAUAGGGACUAUGUUCAAAAAUAACUAGGAUUUCUGUCGCUUGGUUUUGUGGCUAACGGGAACAUUUGAGGGUAGUUGUUCAGGAUAAAAUGGUUAUGAUUGCCUAUAUUUUCAUAAUGUAUUAUGAACAUAAUUUAGGGUGAUUACGUAUGUUCAUAUAUAGUGUAUAUGUAGAUACAACUAACUAUCAAAGCCAACAUCUCCCUUCACUUGGAGCCACGUGUUGAAUGUCCCUUCUUGUGUUUUACUUGUUUUGAAAUAAAUGUUUUCUUUCAUUCUAA